This 247-nucleotide long non-coding RNA is filed under the name Elaeis guineensis (African oil palm). RNAcentral describes it as "long non-coding RNA (EGUI_LNC014185)". The record is from RNAcentral. Lineage: Eukaryota; Viridiplantae; Streptophyta; Magnoliopsida; Arecales; Arecaceae.
CUCGGCACUAGUAGGUGAAGCAAGCACCUGAAGCUUUAGCCUAAGCACUGCUUGGUAGGAGAGUAAGCAUGCCAAACAUAAGCAAGCUCUAAUUUGCUUGAGCUCAGCCCAAGAUCCCACACACACAACUUGAGUUUUAACCAUAUUCAUAUGUAAUUUGAUUUUGUUAGUCAAAAUUAGCUUCUAUGAUAAUGUAACCUAAUAUAUAUCGUUUGAAUUUGAUUUGUGAUGCAGUGUUAUGAUGGCU